UCGGGAAUAUUGGACAAUGGAGGAAACUCUGAUCCAGCAAUGCCGCGUGUGUGAUGAAGGCCCUAGGGUUGUAAAGCACUUUCAACGGUGAAGAUGAUGACGGUAGCCGUAGAAGAAGCCCCGGCUAACUUCGUGCCAGCAGCCGCGGUAAUACGAAGGGGGCGAGCGUUGUUCGGAAUUAUUGGGCGUAAAGGGCGCGCAGGCGGUUUGGAUAGUUAGACGUGAAAGCCCUGGGCUUAACCUAGGAACUGCGUUUAAUACUGCCAAACUAGAGAACUAGAGAGGAUAGCGGAACUCCCAGUGUAGAGGUGAAAUUCGUAGAUAUUGGGAAGAACAUCAGUGGCGAAAGCGGCUGUCUGGCUAGUUUCUGACGCUGAGGCGCGAAAGCGUGGGGAGCAAACAGG
This 404-nucleotide ribosomal RNA is filed under the name uncultured bacterium. Its description in RNAcentral is "bacterial SSU rRNA". It matches the Rfam family "Bacterial small subunit ribosomal RNA", at positions 355 to 776 of the family's 1533-position model. The record is from RNAcentral. RNAcentral also lists the same sequence under 1 other name.